GCAAGAGAAGGGUUAGAGAUAUGAAUUCGGCAUUGCUGUCAAAAUAAGAGAGAUGGUGCAUUGGAAGAGGCGGUCUCUCUCUUCAAAGGCCCCUGUUCGGUUGAGGAGCUUGAGAUCUUGUGUCAUUAGAAAUUGAGAACACUCCUGGUGUCUUUGUUGUGUUGAGCUCAAGCCCAUUCCUUGUAUGAUUCUUAUCAGAAAUUGGGACAUUGCCAGUCUCUUGCUUAUGCGCACUGAUUCAGAGCAGUAUCGACGUUUUGCACCUUUUGGUGAUUGGUCUUAUGUUCUUUUUUCUUUUGAAGUGGAUCUUAUAUUUUGACAGAGCAGACUUCCAAGUUUGUUUGCUAAGUCAUUUGAGUAAAGAUCUACAUGAAUACAUGAUCAGCAAGGUGAAACUCAUUU
Molecule: non-coding RNA, 402 nt
Organism: Amborella trichopoda
Lineage: Eukaryota; Viridiplantae; Streptophyta; Magnoliopsida; Amborellales; Amborellaceae
Source: RefSeq, a predicted model, not a curated record